RNAcentral lists this ribosomal RNA (450 nucleotides) under uncultured Glomeromycotina. RNAcentral's name for it is "SSU rRNA". It matches the Rfam family "Eukaryotic small subunit ribosomal RNA", at positions 569 to 1024 of the family's 1831-position model. The record is from RNAcentral. Lineage: Eukaryota; Fungi; Glomeromycota.
AGCAGCCGCGGUAAUUCCAGCUCCAAUAGCGUAUAUUAAAGUUGUUGCAGUUAAAAAGCUCGUAGUUGAAUUUCGGGAUUAGUACGUUGGUCGUGCCUUCGGUACGUACUGGUGUUACUGAUUCCUACCUUCUGACGAACCAUCAUGUCAUUAAUUUGGUGUGGCGGGGAAUCAGGACUGUUACUUUGAAAAAAUUAGAGUGUUUAAAGCAGGCUCGCGCUUGAAUACAUUAGCAUGGAAUAAUGAAAUAGGACGUUGACCCUAUUUUGUUGGUUUCUAGGAUUGACGUAAUGAUUAAUAGGGAUAGUUGGGGGCAUUAGUAUUCAAUUGUCAGAGGUGAAAUUCUUGGAUUUAUUGAAGACUAACUACUGCGAAAGCAUUUGCCAAGGAUGUUUUCAUUAAUCAAGAACGAAAGUUAGGGGAUCGAAGACGAUCAGAUACCGUCGUAGU